This 497-nucleotide ribosomal RNA is filed under the name uncultured bacterium. Its description in RNAcentral is "partial 16S ribosomal RNA". It matches the Rfam family "Bacterial small subunit ribosomal RNA", at positions 28 to 507 of the family's 1533-position model. The record is from RNAcentral.
GAUGGACGCUGGCGGCGUGCCUAAUACAUGCCAGUCGAGCGAACGGACGAGAAGCUUGCUUCUCUGAUGUUAGCGGCGGACGGGUGAGUAACACGUGGAUAACCUACCUAUAAGACUGGGAUAACUUCGGGAAACCGGAGCUAAUACCGGAUAAUAUUUUGAACCGCAUGGUUCAAAAGUGAAAGACGGUCUUGCUGUCACUUAUAGAUGGAUCCGCGCUGCAUUAGCUAGUUGGUAAGGUAACGGCUUACCAUGGCAACGAUGCAUAGCCGACCUGAGAGGGUGAUCGGCCACACUGGAACUGAGACACGGUCCAGACUCCUACGGGAGGCAGCAGUAGGGAAUCUUCCGCAAUGGGCGAAAGCCUGACGGAGCAACGCCGCGUGAGUGAUGAAGGUCUUCGGAUCGUAAAACUCUGUUAUUAGGGAAGAACAUAUGUGUAAGUAACUGUGCACAUCUUGACGGUACCUAAUCAGAAAGCCACGGCUAACUACGUG